GACGAACGCUGGCGGCGUGCUUAACACAUGCAAGUCGAACGGAAAGGCCCUGCUUUUGUGGGGUGCUCGAGUGGCGAACGGGUGAGUAACACGUGAGUAACCUGCCCUUGACUUUGGGAUAACUUCAGGAAACUGGGGCUAAUACCGGAUAGGAGCUCCUGCUGCAUGGUGGGGGUUGGAAAGUUUCGGCGGUUGGGGAUGGACUCGCGGCUUAUCAGCUUGUUGGUGGGGUAGUGGCUUACCAAGGCUUUGACGGGUAGCCGGCCUGAGAGGGUGACCGGCCACAUUGGGACUGAGAGACGGCGCAGACUCCUACGGGAGGCAGCAGUGGAGAAUAUUGCACAAUGGGCGGGAGCCUGAUGCAGCAACGCCGCGUGCGGGAUGACGGCCUUCGGGUUGUAAACCGCUUUCGCCUGUGACGAAGCGUGAGUGACGGUAAUGGGUAAAGAAGCACCGGCUAACUACGUG
Molecule: ribosomal RNA, 468 nt
Filed under: uncultured bacterium
Lineage: Bacteria
Description: partial 16S ribosomal RNA
Rfam family: Bacterial small subunit ribosomal RNA
Source: RNAcentral